RNAcentral lists this unclassified non-coding RNA (305 nucleotides) under Hevea brasiliensis (rubber tree). Lineage: Eukaryota; Viridiplantae; Streptophyta; Magnoliopsida; Malpighiales; Euphorbiaceae. The record is from RNAcentral.
CAACACUAUUAUUCAGCCAAGAGAGCUACUUUUCUCGGUGGCUCUUGUGCUAGAAAAGAGUGUGCUGGAACUGGCGUUUUCUUGCCUCGCAGAUGUGUCAUUCCCGCUGAUUGUAAGAAGAAAUCAGCUUGCUCUGGUCCAAGCCAAGGUUGUUCAGGCUCUAGAUUUGAACCUUAAGGACAUGAACAUCCAAGAUGCUUUGAUGGCAAGAAAUGGGCUAUUGGCGCAACAGAAGGGAAAUUUACAGGCAGAGAGUGUCCUCAAUAAUCAAGAAAUUUGCUUACCUCAAGAGUGGAUGUAUUGAC